CAUAACCACCAGCAUCAGCCCCAAUAUGACCAUUAAAUUCCCCUCCAAUAACUAACUUCUCACAUUGGGGAAUACAACUCACCAGAUCAUCCAAACACUCCCAAAGCGCCUCUUAGCCUCAUCGUCUAAGCCCGCUUAGCGCGUAAGUGCUGAUGACGUUGAUGAUGCAACCUCCAAUAACCAACUUAAUAGACAUUAACCUAUCAUUCACUCGCCUAACCUCGAC
This 226-nucleotide long non-coding RNA is filed under the name Nicotiana benthamiana. RNAcentral's name for it is "long non-coding RNA (NBEN_LNC000786)". The record is from RNAcentral. Lineage: Eukaryota; Viridiplantae; Streptophyta; Magnoliopsida; Solanales; Solanaceae.